AAGUUAGCAUUUAUCAUACAGGUGGAGCAUACCUAAUGUGAAAAUUCAAAGCUCAGAAGCACUGUAAAACCUAACACCUGUGCUCAGACAUGAUGCCAAGAGCGGAAAAGCCCACAGCCCACUUCGGGAUGGGUUGCAGUCAAAAUACAGGUGCACUAAAAAUACAUCAAGUUAUCUUCAAGCCAUGAGAAAUAUAAGCGGACCUUGUGUUCAGAAUUGGAUCCCAUCCUCAAGGUAUUAUGAAAUACUUUAAAGUCUGGGAAAAAAUUAAAACACUCCAAGCCCCAAGCAUUUCUGUCUGUUCAACCUGUAGUAAAAAUUCUUUAAACUGACACUCAUUUGCCAUUUUGGAGCUUAAAGUAUUCAAGUGAAAAAUGAUGAGAAAAUGGUUUUAGAAUAUGGUAGUUUAAAUGGGGUUCAGUUCUAGACAGAGGAUAUUAGGAAUGUAAAAGAAUUAACCGGAAGUGAGGUUUACGUUGGCUGAAAAGAGAUACAGUAUAUUAAUCACUUUUUCAAAAUUGUUACUGCUUAUUUUUUUGGAAUGGAAGCAUUACUUUCUCAAAGGAAAAUUUUAUUAAUGAGUAUGGCUAUUUUCAUUCUUCUGACGUUAGCUUUUAACACAGCUAGUAAUUAUCAAGAUACUGCAUUGUAAAACAUAACUUUAUAUAGGAUUCUUAUUGCCUUGACCAUGUUCAAUACCAUGUACUGGAUAGAAUAGGUUUUGUACUUUGAACACUGCCAUUUGCUUCAAUGUGUUGCAGAGUAACAUGCUGUAGAGCCAGCAGUGCAGAUGCCUUGUGCUGGUGACACCUUGGGUUCUGUUUUAAAUGUAAACUUGUUAAAUGUCACCGGAUAAUUAGCUGAUUACAUAGACACUACUUUUGUUUUUAUUGUUUAUAACCAAUAUAGUAGUGAUGUCCUGUUACUCUUUACUUAAUAUAGGUUCAAAGUAAAAAUCAGAAUUUCAAAUUUAUGAAGUCAGACUUCAUAAUUUAAGCCAGUAAGGGUUUAAAUUUGGGAACAUGAUUUCAUGGGUAUAACAGUGGUUGCAGGGACUGCAAUAAAAUGGCAGUACAAGCUGGGCACCUUCCAGUGAGUGGUAAUACACACAUGAGAAAUUAAUCAUGGCUUUUCUAAAUGCAUUGUCGAGCAACAUUCACUGCAGUAUUGAAGUGCUUAUUACUGUUUUCUGCAUCUCUGAUAAUUUUAAGUUAGAAUAAUUGUUAAGUCUUAAUAAAAAUGAAACUAAAUAUUGAAAUAAAUUUGAUACCUUUUUAUAAAG
This 1282-nucleotide long non-coding RNA is filed under the name Mus musculus (house mouse). Its description in RNAcentral is "long non-coding RNA chr13:108047891-108049173". The record is from RNAcentral. Lineage: Eukaryota; Metazoa; Chordata; Mammalia; Rodentia; Muridae.